This is a long non-coding RNA of Vidua chalybeata, 282 nucleotides long. RefSeq lists it as uncharacterized. The record is from RefSeq and is a predicted model, not a curated record. The transcript has 2 exons. NCBI's taxonomy places the organism in Eukaryota, Metazoa, Chordata, Aves, Passeriformes, Viduidae.
UCUCCUUGGUCAGUUGGGGUCACCUGUCUCAGCUGUGUCUUCUCCCAGCCUCCCCUGCAUUCCCAUACACUCAUGGCAGCAGGAGAAACAGAAAAGGCCUUGGCUCUGUGAAGAAGUGCAACCAGGAGACCAGAAGACCUGGAGUACACUAACACUGCCAGCAAACCACAAAAGACCUCAAAGCAGAGCAAGAAGUCGAGGGGAUGCCUCCAGUAGUGACGGAUAUUAUUCGGAAAAGGACUUCCUCUAAGAAUUUAUCUUUAUCACUGCUAUGCCUAUUUA